This is a long non-coding RNA of Octopus sinensis (East Asian common octopus), 175 nucleotides long. RefSeq lists it as uncharacterized. The transcript is spliced from 3 exons. NCBI's taxonomy places the organism in Eukaryota, Metazoa, Mollusca, Cephalopoda, Octopoda, Octopodidae. The record is from RefSeq and is a predicted model, not a curated record.
UUUGCUAUAUGGUUACUAUGGUUACUUGUUUGUUUAACACUAGGUCAGUCCUGAUCCAGUAGACCUAUGAUCAAAGACGUUCCAGCUGUGACCAUCCCACCUUUUAUUCAGACAUAUAUUGUGUAUCUAGGACUACAUUAUCUAAUGUACAGUAUAGUAGUUUGUAUUAGUGGCU